This 625-nucleotide ribosomal RNA is filed under the name uncultured bacterium. RNAcentral describes it as "bacterial SSU rRNA". It matches the Rfam family "Bacterial small subunit ribosomal RNA", at positions 56 to 726 of the family's 1533-position model. The record is from RNAcentral.
UGCAGUCGAGCGCAGUCCUUCGGGACCGAGCGGCGGACGGGUUAGUAACGCGUGGGAAUAUACCCAGAUCUAAGGAAUAGCCUCGGGAAACUGAGAGUAAUACCUUAUACGCCCUUCGGGGGAAAGAUUUAUCGGAUUUGGAUUAGCCCGCGUUAGAUUAGAUAGUUGGUGGGGUAAUGGCCUACCAAGUCUACGAUCUAUAGCUGGUUUUAGAGGAUGAUCAGCAACACUGGGACUGAGACACGGCCCAGACUCCUACGGGAGGCAGCAGUGGGGAAUCUUAGACAAUGGGCGAAAGCCUGAUCUAGCCAUGCCGCGUGUGUGAUGAAGGCCCUAGGGUCGUAAAGCACUUUCGCCAGAGAUGAUAAUGACAGUAUCUGGUAAAGAAACCCCGGCUAACUCCGUGCCAGCAGCCGCGGUAAUACGGAGGGGGUUAGCGUUGUUCGGAAUUACUGGGCGUAAAGCGUACGUAGGCGGAUUAGUAAGUUAGGGGUGAAAUCCCGAGGCUCAACCUCGGAACUGCCUCUAAAACUGCUAGUCUUGAGUUCGAGAGAGGUGAGUGGAAUUCCGAGUGUAGAGGUGAAAUUCGUAGAUAUUCGGAGGAACACCAGUGGCGAAGGCGGCU